Molecule: small nuclear RNA, 110 nt
Organism: Aspergillus ustus
Lineage: Eukaryota; Fungi; Ascomycota; Eurotiomycetes; Eurotiales; Aspergillaceae
Rfam family: U2 spliceosomal RNA
About the family: U2 is a small nuclear RNA (snRNA) component of the spliceosome (involved in pre-mRNA splicing). Complementary binding between U2 snRNA (in an area lying towards the 5' end but 3' to hairpin I) and the branchpoint sequence (BPS) of the intron results the bulging out of an unpaired adenosine, on the BPS, which initiates a nucleophilic attack at the intronic 5' splice site, thus starting the first of two transesterification reactions that mediate splicing.
Source: Rfam
CCAGCUCUCUUUGCCUUUUGGCUUAGAUCAAGUGUAGUAUCUGUUCUUUUCAGUUUAAUCUCUGAAAGUGUUCUAAGGAACACAACAUUGAUUAAUCUUAUUUUUGGUCU